GAAGGUAUAGCUCAUUGGUAGAGUGUGUGCUUAGCAUGUACAAUGUCCUGAGUUCAGUCCCCAGUACCUCCA
Molecule: transfer RNA, 72 nt
Organism: Camelus ferus (Wild Bactrian camel)
Lineage: Eukaryota; Metazoa; Chordata; Mammalia; Artiodactyla; Camelidae
Rfam family: tRNA
About the family: Transfer RNA (tRNA) molecules are approximately 80 nucleotides in length. Their secondary structure includes four short double-helical elements and three loops (D, anti-codon, and T loops). Further hydrogen bonds mediate the characteristic L-shaped molecular structure. tRNAs have two regions of fundamental functional importance: the anti-codon, which is responsible for specific mRNA codon recognition, and the 3' end, to which the tRNAs corresponding amino acid is attached (by aminoacyl-tRNA synthetases). tRNAs cope with the degeneracy of the genetic code in two manners: having more than one tRNA (with a specific anti-codon) for a particular amino acid; and 'wobble' base-pairing, i.e. permitting non-standard base-pairing at the 3rd anti-codon position.
Source: Rfam